AUAAAGUUUAAACUUUUUUUAGAA
RNAcentral lists this transfer RNA (24 nucleotides) under Oreina ganglbaueri. Its description in RNAcentral is "partial tRNA-Leu". The record is from RNAcentral. Lineage: Eukaryota; Metazoa; Arthropoda; Insecta; Coleoptera; Chrysomelidae.